Molecule: ribosomal RNA, 453 nt
Filed under: uncultured Porphyromonadaceae bacterium
Lineage: Bacteria; Pseudomonadati; Bacteroidota; Bacteroidia; Bacteroidales; Porphyromonadaceae
Description: partial 16S ribosomal RNA
Rfam family: Bacterial small subunit ribosomal RNA
Source: RNAcentral
ACGGGAGGCAGCAGUGAGGAAUAUUGGUCAAUGGACGGAAGUCUGAACCAGCCAAGUCGCGUGAAGGGUGAAGGUUCUAUGGAUUGUAAACUUCUUUUGCCUGAGGGCAAAGUGCAGUACGUGUACUGUUUUGCAAGUAUCAGACGAAUAAGCAUCGGCUAACUCCGUGCCAGCAGCCGCGGUAAUACGGAGGAUGCGAGCGUUAUCCGGAUUUAUUGGGUUUAAAGGGUGCGUAGGCGGAAUGUUAAGUCAGUGGUAAAAGCGUGUGGCUCAACCAUACCAAGCCGUUGAUACUGGCGUUCUUGAGUGUAAACGAGGUAGGCGGAAUAUGACGUGUAGCGGUGAAAUGCUUAGAUAUGUCAUAGAACCCCGAUUGCGAAGGCAGCUUACCAGCAUACAACUGACGCUGAGGCACGAAAGCGUGGGUAUCGAACAGGAUUAGAUACCCUGGUA